This 47-nucleotide transfer RNA is filed under the name Tetragnatha sp. Rapa Nui. RNAcentral's name for it is "partial tRNA-Thr". Lineage: Eukaryota; Metazoa; Arthropoda; Arachnida; Araneae; Tetragnathidae. The record is from RNAcentral.
CCUUGUUAAUUGGUUUAAGUAAAACGUGAACUUUGUAAGUUUAAAUU